AAGCGUUUUGGAAGUAAAAAAUCGUAACAAGGUUUCCGUAGGUGAACCUGCGGAAGGAUAUUACCGAGUGAGGGCCCUCUGGGUCCACCUCCCACCCGUGUCUAUUGUACCUUGUUGCUUCGGCGGGCCCGCCGUUUCGACGGCCGCCGGGGAGGCCUCGCGCCCCCGGGCCCGCGCCCGCCGAAGACCCCAACAUGAACGCUGUUCUGAAAGUAUGCAGUCUGAGUUUGAUUACCAUAAUCAGUUAAAACUUUCAACAACGGAUCUCUUGGUUCCGGCAUCGAUGAAGAACGCAGCGAAAUGCGAUAAGUAAUGUGAAUUGCAGAAUUCAGUGAAUCAUCGAGUCUUUGAACGCACAUUGCGCCCCCUGGUAUUCCGGGGGGCAUGCCUGUCCGAGCGUCAUUGCUGCCCUCAAGCACGGCUUGUGUGUUGGGCCCCCGUCCCCGGUCUACACCGGGGACGGGCCCGAAAGGCAGCGGCGGCACCGCGUCCGGUCCUCGAGCGUAUGGGGCUUUGUCACCCGCUCUGUAGGCCUGGCCGGCGCCAGCCGACACCCCAACUUUAUUUUCUAAGGUUGACCUCGGAUCAGGUAGGGAUACCCGCUGAACUUAAGCAUAUCAAAACCCGGGAAGAAAAUCCUUUGGGUUU
RNAcentral lists this ribosomal RNA (648 nucleotides) under Aspergillus quadricinctus. Its description in RNAcentral is "eukaryotic LSU rRNA". The stretch from base 249 to 402 matches the Rfam family "5.8S ribosomal RNA". Lineage: Eukaryota; Fungi; Ascomycota; Eurotiomycetes; Eurotiales; Aspergillaceae. The record is from RNAcentral.